This 351-nucleotide RNase P RNA is filed under the name Parafilimonas terrae. RNAcentral describes it as "Bacterial RNase P class A". It matches the Rfam family "Bacterial RNase P class A". Rfam says of the family: Ribonuclease P (RNase P) is a ubiquitous endoribonuclease, found in archaea, bacteria and eukarya as well as chloroplasts and mitochondria. Lineage: Bacteria; Pseudomonadati; Bacteroidota; Chitinophagia; Chitinophagales; Chitinophagaceae. The record is from Rfam by way of RNAcentral.
CUACAAACCCGCGCUAUCGUUCCGAAUUAUAUUUGGAAAGGAAAGUCCGGACAGCACAGGGCAGCCCACCAUGUGUUAAACAUGGCUUUCCCGGUUUCCGGGAAAAGAGAAAGUGCCACAGAAAAUAACAGCCUCUCCCUAACCCUCUCCUAAGGAAAGGGAAUGGCAAGGCUACGGUGAAAAUGUGAGGUAAGAGCUCACGUUCUGUUGCAGUGAUGCAACAGGAGGGUAAACCUUGGGCGCUGCAAUGCCACGUAAAGAAGCUAUAGAGUUGCCCGCUCUGUUUCUGGGUAGGCAGCACAGAUAAAUGAUAGCUUAAAACAGAAUCCGGCUUAUGGGGUUUGUAGUUCU